UGCAGUCGACGGUAACAGGCCCAGCAAUGGGUGCUGACGAGUGGCGCACGGGUGCGUAACACGUAUGCAACCUACCCUUUACUGGGGGAUAACCCCGCGAAAGCGGGGCUAAUACCCCAUAGUAUCCCGAUACGGCAUCGUAUCGGGAUUAAAGAUUUAUUGGUAAAGGAUGGGCAUGCGUCCCAUUAGUUAGUUGGUAAGGUAACGGCUUACCAAGGCGAUGAUGGGUAGGGGUUCUGAGAGGAUUAUCCCCCACACUGGUACUGAGACACGGACCAGACUCCUACGGGAGGCAGCAGUAAGGAAUAUUGGGCAAUGGUCGAGAGACUGACCCAGCCAUGCCGCGUGCAGGAAGACGGCCUUAUGGGUUGUAAACUGCUUUUUUAUGGGGCUAACCUUCCGUACGUGUACGGGACUGCAGGUACCAUAAGAAUAAGCAUCGGCUAACUCCGUGCCAGCAGCCGCGGUAAUACGGAGGAUGCAAGCGUUAUCCGGAAUCAUUGGGUUUAAAGGGUGCGUAGGCGGGUUAUUAAGUCAGUGGUGAAAUUACAGUGCUUAACAUUGUAGCUGCCAUUGAUACUGAUAGUCUUGAGUUUAGUUGACGUUGGCGGAAUGUGUCAUGUAGCGGUGAAAUGCAUAGAUAUGACACAGAACACCGAUAGCGAAGGCAGCUGACGAAACUAUAACUGACGCUGAUGCACGAAAGCGUGGGAUCAAACAGGAUUAGAUACCCUGGUAGUCCACGCUGUAAACGAUGAUCACUAGCUGUAUGCGAUACACAGUAUGUGGCUAAGGGAAACCGAUAAGUGAUCCACCUGGGGGAGUACGUCGGCAACGAUGAAACUCAAAGGAAUUGACGGGGGCCCGCACAAGCGGAGGAGCAUGUGGUUUAAUUCGAUGAUACGCGAGGAACCUUACCUGGGCUUGAACGUAUGGUGCAUGGUGGGUGAAAGCUCACUUUUCAGCAAUGAACUUCAUACGAGGUGCUGCAUGGUUGUCGUCAGCUCGUGCCGUGAGGGGGUUAAGGUUAAGUCCUGCAACGAGCGCAACCCCUUGUAUUUAGUUGCCAUCAAGGUUAAGCUGGGCA
This 1087-nucleotide ribosomal RNA is filed under the name uncultured bacterium. Its description in RNAcentral is "bacterial SSU rRNA". It matches the Rfam family "Bacterial small subunit ribosomal RNA", at positions 56 to 1137 of the family's 1533-position model. The record is from RNAcentral.